Non-coding RNA from Charadrius vociferus (killdeer), 269 nucleotides. Lineage: Eukaryota; Metazoa; Chordata; Aves; Charadriiformes; Charadriidae. The record is from Rfam.
GUUAAAAGCUAGGGCUAGGACUUGGAGGAUGUGUAGGCAAACGGAAGGAGAGCCGGGGGAAGAAAAACCGAAAUGGAUUCAUUCUCUGUCCUGGAUGGAGGAGGAGAGGAGAAGAGAAGGGGACGUGCGAGCUUCCUUCAACUGCCUCUGUCCGGUGAAAAGUGCUCAGACCCCCGGGGCUGAGCGGGGCUCAGGAGUCCGCGCGGACUUUCGCUUUAAGCUGCCAAUCAAACCGCUAACUAGCCACCACCCUGCUCUGGCACCGACAU